GGCCUCCCUCUUUGGGGCAAUCGAUCCUGGGGCUCCGCGAUCGAUCGCCCAGUAGAGGGAGGCC
Molecule: microRNA precursor, 64 nt
Filed under: Myotis davidii
Lineage: Eukaryota; Metazoa; Chordata; Mammalia; Chiroptera; Vespertilionidae
Description: mir-9242 microRNA precursor family
Rfam family: mir-9242 microRNA precursor family
Source: Rfam by way of RNAcentral